UAGUUCAGUGGUGGAAUCCUUGUCUACCACACAGGAUUCCUGGGUUCAAUUCCUAG
This 56-nucleotide transfer RNA is filed under the name Alligator mississippiensis (American alligator). Lineage: Eukaryota; Metazoa; Chordata; Crocodylia; Alligatoridae. The record is from Rfam by way of RNAcentral.